AGAACGAACGCUGGCGGCAGGCCUCAAACAUGCAAGUCUAGGGGGUGUAGCAAUACAUCACCGGCGGACGGGUGCGUAACGCGUGGGAAUAUACCUAUUGGUUCGGAACAACUGCGGGAAACUGCAGCUAAUACCGAAUGUGCCCGAAAGGGGAAAGAUUUAUCGCCAAUAGAUUAGCCCGCGUAGGAUUAGCUAGUUGGUGGGGUAAUGGCCCACCAAGGCUCCGAUCCUUAGCUGUUCUGAGAGGAAGAUCAGCCACACUGGGACUGAGACACGGCCCAGACUCCUACGGGAGGCAGCAGUUGGGAAUCUUGGACAAUGGGGGAAACCCUGAUCCAGCCAUGCCGCGUGAGUGAUGAAGGCCUUCGGGUUGUAAAACUCUUUCGACGGGGACGAUAAUGACGGUACCCGUAGAAGAAGCUCCGGCUAACUUCGUGCCAGCAGCCGC
Molecule: ribosomal RNA, 448 nt
Filed under: uncultured bacterium
Lineage: Bacteria
Description: SSU rRNA
Rfam family: Bacterial small subunit ribosomal RNA
Source: RNAcentral